Molecule: long non-coding RNA, 769 nt
Organism: Passer domesticus (house sparrow)
Lineage: Eukaryota; Metazoa; Chordata; Aves; Passeriformes; Passeridae
Exons: 3
Source: RefSeq, a predicted model, not a curated record
GGGCAGAGCAGCAGAGAUCCCCUCCCUGAUUUCCAAAAACUCAAAAUGCAAAUGAAGCACAAGGAAGGGAGCAGGGCCUGGCCUGGCAGGGCCCCCUAGGGCAGCUUCCAGAAGCUUCUCCUUUUUGGAGCUGGGAAUAAAUCAGGGCUGCAAUGAAGGGAAAGAAUUAAUUCGCCAAAAAUUAAUGCCCUGAAGAUGCCGUCAGGAUUCAGAAGAAGUUAACAGAAAAUAAGAAAAAUAAUUUCUGUAUUUCUCAAGCCCGUAUGCAUUUGAAAACUGGUAUAGAUAGAAAUCUUGUUACAAGGCUGGCUCUCCUUUCUUCCCAUUGACCAUGAGAGAGAUUUGUGUCAGGAGGGAAAAAAAUGGAAAAUGACAACCAAGGUGCACUGGCAGAACAUUUCCCUCCCAUCUCACUAAAAAUAUUGAUUAAACAAAGCAAAGCCUGCGGAAGGUGGUGGAAAACAAGGCCAAAGAAGCUAAACAUUGAUAAACUUAAUUAAAUUUCUAAUGAAAACAGAGGCGGCCUGUGGUGAUUACUCUGUGUAACUGAGACUAACACACCAAUUAGGGUAAUUCAUCCCUUGGUGCUCUAAACACAGCUCGAAACGGAACCCGUGCUUCUUCUCACGUGUCACCAGCCCAUUCCUGGCCCCUGCAGCUCCUGGCGUGGCCAGGGGAAGCUGCAGAGACUUUUCCACAGGAGCAGCUCCAGGAAUUUGUUUCCUUUCCUUCAUCUCCCACACUCAAUGAAACCACUGCAAAUAUUAUU